AGCAGCCGCGGUAAUUCCAGCUCCAAUAGCGUAUAUUAAAGUUGUUGCAGUUAAAAAGCUCGUAGUUGAAUUUCGGGAUCAGUACGCUGGUCGUGCCUUUGGUAUGUACUGGUGUCACUGAUUCCUCCCUUCUGAAGAACCGUUAUGCCAUUUAUUUGGUGUGGCGGGGAAUCAGGACUGUUACUUUGAAAAAUUAGAGUGUUUAAAGCAGGCUCGCGCUUGAAUACAUUAGCAUGGAAUAAUGAAAUAGGACGUUUGAUCUUAUUUUGUUGGUUUCUAGGAUCGACGUAAUGAUUAAUAGGGAUAGGUUGGGGCAUUAGUAUUCAAUUGUCAGAGGUGAAAUUCUUGGAUUUAUUGAAGACUAACUACUGCGAAAGCAUUUGCCAAGGAUGUUUUCAUUAUCAAGAACGAAAGUUAGGGGAUCGAAGACGAUCAGAUACCGUCGUAGUCUUAACCAUAAAACUAUGCCGACUAGGGAUCGGAUGAUGUUAAUUUUAAUG
RNAcentral lists this ribosomal RNA (500 nucleotides) under uncultured Glomus. Its description in RNAcentral is "SSU rRNA". It matches the Rfam family "Eukaryotic small subunit ribosomal RNA", at positions 569 to 1074 of the family's 1831-position model. The record is from RNAcentral. Lineage: Eukaryota; Fungi; Glomeromycota; Glomeromycetes; Glomerales; Glomeraceae.